RNAcentral lists this ribosomal RNA (253 nucleotides) under uncultured bacterium. RNAcentral describes it as "partial 16S ribosomal RNA". It matches the Rfam family "Bacterial small subunit ribosomal RNA", at positions 524 to 776 of the family's 1533-position model. The record is from RNAcentral.
UACGUAGGGGGCAAGCGUUGUCCGGAAUCAUUGGGCGUAAAGAGCGUGUAGGCGGCCCGAUAAGUCCGUCGUGAAAGCCCAGGGCUCAACCCUGGGAUGCCGGUGGAAACUGUCGGGCUAGAGUCCGGAAGAGGCGAGUGGAAUUCCUGGUGUAGCGGUGAAAUGCGCAGAUAUCAGGAGGAACACCGAUGGCGAAGGCAGCUCGCUGGGACGGUACUGACGCUGAGACGCGAAAGCGUGGGGAGCGAACAGG